RNAcentral lists this ribosomal RNA (441 nucleotides) under uncultured Pelagibacterales bacterium. RNAcentral's name for it is "bacterial SSU rRNA". It matches the Rfam family "Bacterial small subunit ribosomal RNA", at positions 1077 to 1533 of the family's 1533-position model. Lineage: Bacteria; Pseudomonadati; Pseudomonadota; Alphaproteobacteria; Candidatus Pelagibacterales. The record is from RNAcentral.
UGGGUAGUCCGCACGAGCGCACCUUACUUUUAGUUGCUACCAUUUAGUUGGGCACUCUAAAAGAACUGCCAGUGAUAAGCUGGAGGAAGGUGGGGAUGACGUCAAGUCCUCAUGGCCCUUACGUGUUGGGCUACACACGUGCUACAAUGGUAUUUACAAUGGGAAGCAAAGAGGCGACUCCAAGCAAAUCCCAAAAAGAUACCUCAGUUCGGAUUGUACUCUGCAACUCGAGUACAUGAAGCUGGAAUUACUAGUAAUCGUGGAUCAGCGUGCCACGGUGAAUACGUUCCCGGGUCUUGUACACACCGCCCGUCACACCAUGGGAGUUGGUUCUACCUUAAGGCAAAGUUUAAAACCUUUGACCACGGUAUAGUCAGCGACUGGGGUGAAGUCGUAACAAGGUAGCCGUAGGGGAACCUGCGGCUGGAUUACCUCCUUUCU